GGAAGUAAAAGUCGUAACAAGAUCUCCGUUGGUGAACCAGCGGAGGGAUCAUUACUGGAAUCGCAAGAUCCCACAACCCUGUGAACCUACCGAAACGUUGCCUCGGCGGGUGCCCGGCCCCCGCGCCGGGCGCUGCGCCCGCCGGCGGCCCCCUACUCUGUCUCUGCAGCGUGGCAUCUCAGAGUCCCAGAAAACAAGUCAAAACUUUCAACAACGGAUCUCUUGGCUCUA
Molecule: unclassified non-coding RNA, 231 nt
Filed under: plant metagenome
Description: partial contains small subunit ribosomal RNA, internal transcribed spacer 1, and 5.8S ribosomal RNA
Rfam family: Eukaryotic small subunit ribosomal RNA (bases 1-54)
Source: RNAcentral